Long non-coding RNA from Triticum dicoccoides, 467 nucleotides. RefSeq lists it as uncharacterized. NCBI's taxonomy places the organism in Eukaryota, Viridiplantae, Streptophyta, Magnoliopsida, Poales, Poaceae. The record is from RefSeq and is a predicted model, not a curated record. The transcript is spliced from 3 exons.
CUGAACCUGUCGUGUUACUUUUGUCGGAGUGAUGGUGGACCAUUAUGCAGGCAAUGAUAUUUUGUGCUUCCCUUUAUGAUAGUUGAUCUUCCUUUUGCAACAACAAGACGAGUUCUUAGAAUACAUAAUUAAUUGAAAUCUACAGGCACACUGGCUUUUAAAAACACCUCAUCACCCAGGUGGCACAUCAAUGUUAACAUCCCUGAGAUGAAGGCCAUGGUCGCAAGAACAAGUGGCAUGUCUUACCAAAUUGAGCUGCGAAAUAUGGGACAGGGCCAACGGCAGGCAACUGAAUCGACUGUUGCAGCUUUGGCAGCUGUUGACCCCAACUCAAUAUUAUAAGCUCGAAGAUAAGAAUCACUGAGGUUAUCUCAACUACCGACUGGUGGUACAUGGGAUGCCAAAUAUGCUGGAGAAAAUUACUAAAAGAGGGAAACAUAUACAGGUGCCAUAUAUGCACUGAACCA